Molecule: ribosomal RNA, 623 nt
Filed under: uncultured bacterium
Lineage: Bacteria
Description: bacterial SSU rRNA
Rfam family: Bacterial small subunit ribosomal RNA (bases 1-519)
Source: RNAcentral
CCUACGGGAGGCAGCAGUGGGGAAUAUUGGACAAUGGGCGAAAGCCUGAUCCAGCAAUGCCGCGUGAGUGAUGAAGGCCUUAGGGUUGUAAAGCUCUUUUACCAGGGAUGAUAAUGACAGUACCUGGAGAAUAAGCUCCGGCUAACUCCGUGCCAGCAGCCGCGGUAAUACGGAGGGAGCUAGCGUUGUUCGGAAUUACUGGGCGUAAAGCGUACGUAGGCGGUUAUUCAAGUCAGAGGUGAAAGCCUGGAGCUCAACUCCAGAACUGCCUUUGAAACUAGAUAGCUAGAAUCUUGGAGAGGUGAGUGGAAUUCCGAGUGUAGAGGUGAAAUUCGUAGAUAUUCGGAAGAACACCAGUGGCGAAGGCGACUCACUGGACAAGUAUUGACGCUGAGGUACGAAAGCGUGGGGAGCAAACAGGAUUAGAUACCCUGGUAGUCCACGCCGUAAACGAUGAUAACUAGCUGUUCGGGCUCUACGAGCUUGAGUGGCGCAGCUACGACAUUAAGUUAGUCCGUCCGUCGGGUAGGUACGGUCGCGAAGAAGUUAAAACGUUAACGUAAAUUAGUUAAGUUAGUUACGGUUCGUGAGACGUUGCCGACGGACGACGACGAGGGAGGAGG